UGAAGUGCGAAAAGUGUCAUGACUUGCAGAUUCCCGAGAGCUGACAAAUCUCUGAAUGCAAAUGGCGGCCGGAUAAAACGGUCAUGUACUGUCAGAGUGUUGUUGUUCCUACUCUUCAUUCCCGCGCAAUUCGAACUGGAUUGCGCUGUUGGGAUCUGCGCUUGCAUGUCUCCGUAUAUGCGAGUGUGAAAUAGGAGUGCUGAGAUGCAUAUCAUGUGCAUCUCGGCGGCUUCGCAUGCGGGCCAAAAGCCCCAAUGAUGAAGUUAAAUCUCCAAUAUCUCCACAACAACCUCUGCAGUGCAGGAAAACCCGCUGAACUUAA
Molecule: unclassified non-coding RNA, 322 nt
Filed under: uncultured fungus
Lineage: Eukaryota; Fungi
Description: sequence contains ITS1
Rfam family: 5.8S ribosomal RNA (bases 1-102)
Source: RNAcentral